CCUACGGGGGGCAGCAGUGAGGAAUAUUGGUCAAUGGACGAGAGUCUGAACCAGCCAAGUAGCGUGAAGGAUGACUGCCCUAUGGGUUGUAAACUUCUUUUAUAUGGGAGUAAAAUGUUCCACGUGUGGGAUUUUGUAUGUACCAUAUGAAUAAGGAUCGGCUAACUCCGUGCCAGCAGCCGCGGUAAUACGGAGGAUCCGAGCGUUAUCCGGAUUUAUUGGGUUUAAAGGGAGCGUAGGUGGAUUGUUAAGUCAGUUGUGAAAGUUUGCGGCUCAACCGUAAAAUUGCAGUUGAAACUGGCAGUCUUGAGUACAGUAGAGGUGGGCGGAAUGCGUGGUGUAGCGGUGAAAUGCUUAGAUAUCACGAAGAACUCCGAUUGCGAAGGCAGUUCACUGGACUGCAACUGACACUGAGGCUCGAAAGUGUGGGUAUCAAACAGGAUUAGAUACCCUAGUAGUC
This 460-nucleotide ribosomal RNA is filed under the name uncultured bacterium. RNAcentral's name for it is "partial 16S ribosomal RNA". It matches the Rfam family "Bacterial small subunit ribosomal RNA", at positions 338 to 795 of the family's 1533-position model. The record is from RNAcentral.